This 395-nucleotide ribosomal RNA is filed under the name uncultured bacterium. Its description in RNAcentral is "partial 16S ribosomal RNA". It matches the Rfam family "Bacterial small subunit ribosomal RNA", at positions 523 to 918 of the family's 1533-position model. The record is from RNAcentral.
AUACGUAGGGUGCAAGCGUUAAUCGGAAUUACUGGGCGUAAAGCGUGCGCAGGCGGUUUUGUAAGACAGAGGUGAAAUCCCCGGGCCCAACCUGGGAACUGCCUUUGUGACUGCAAAGCUAGAGUACCGCAGAGGGGGAUGGAAUUUCGCGUGUAGCAGUGAAAUGCGUAGAUAUGCGGAGGAACACCGAUGGCGAAGGCAAUCCCCUGGGCCUGUACUGACGCUCAUGCACGAAAGCGUGGGGAGCAAACAGGAUUAGAUACCCUGGUAGUCCACGCCCUAAACGAUGUCAACUGGUUGUUGGGUCUUCAUUGACUCAGUAACGAAGCUAACGCGUGAAGUUGACCGCCUGGGGAGUACGGCCGCAAGGUUGAAACUCAAAUGAAUUGACGGGG